RNAcentral lists this ribosomal RNA (253 nucleotides) under uncultured bacterium. RNAcentral describes it as "partial 16S ribosomal RNA". It matches the Rfam family "Bacterial small subunit ribosomal RNA", at positions 524 to 776 of the family's 1533-position model. The record is from RNAcentral.
UACGUAGGGUGCAAGCGUUAAUCGGAAUUACUGGGCGUAAAGCGUGCGCAGGCGGUUUUGUAAGACCGAUGUGAAAUCCCCGGGCUUAACCUGGGAACUGCAUUGGUGACUGCAAGGCUUGAGUGUGUCAGAGGGAGGUGGAAUUCCGCGUGUAGCAGUGAAAUGCGUAGAUAUCUGGAGGAACACCGGUGGCGAAGGCGGCAUCCUGGACCGAAGUUGACGCUGAGGCGCGAAAGCCAGGGGAGCAAACGGG